GCUCACCAUAUUUUCCCCUUAUACUCUCUCGUUCCCCUCAUUCUUUAUAUUCAUUUCUUUUUCUUUUUUUUAUAUUUUACUAUAAUAAUAAUAUACUGCUCUGUUUUAAGUAUUGUAACUCCCGAUCACCGCUACCCUUUCCGAUUGAUCUGAGUCCCAUAACGCAUGUCAAGGCUCUGCCCGACUAAGUUCGUUUGGAUUCUAUCUCGGGACUUUGGGACAAGGUUGAAUUAGGGGUAAUUUACUUAACACGAGUACAUUAUAUUUUAAUAGCCCAAAAGUUAUACCCAAAAUUUAUAUCAGGAGAUUUUCUAGUUGAACCCUAAAGUUACAAAGUGGGUCCAUUCUCUUUUCUCACUGUUUUAUUCUAUUUUGUGAUUUACCCAAAACUAUUAUUUAUUAUUUAUUAUUUCUAUUUUGUAAACAACUUUCAUCAAAAGUCAUGCCUAUUAUUUUAUUUACCUAAUAGGGAACCAUAAGUUGAGACACCCAAGUAACCCUGCACAACUCCUAAAAAUUUCAUAACAAUCAGAAUCGGGAUCAGGGCCCCUAAAACUCAAAGGGGGCAAUCCCCAUUCGAUAUUAUCUUCAAAGUCUGUUGUCAAAAUUGAAUUUUAAUAUUUCAUCGACUCAGAUAGCCUACUCCCACACGCGGCAAGCCUAUGGUCAUUACGUGUCCCUUACGGACCGUAAGGGAUAAGUCUUACGGUCCGUAAGCCUGUCAAAUUUCGUGUAUAAAUAGCAGGCAUCGGCACUUGCAGUCUGUUGUUCAUUCGACGAUUAAAUUCCGAUUAUACACCGAGUUAUCGUCCAAAUACUCUAAAAACACACACGCGAAUCACUAAUUAGUAUAGCAGGGUGCUACUACGAUACAGGGUAUUAACUCGAUCGCUAUUACGAUUCAUUUUCCGACCGAUCAAUAUAUCCAAUGGAUGUUUAAGUGCCACCCACAUUAGGGUUAUACUUUGUCGUUCGUCGUUAAAUCGAUGGAUGUUUAAGUAUCGCACUUUGUCAUUCGUUGUGAGAAUUUGAUCUCGUGAGUUAUCGUAAUUGUUGUAUUAAGUUACCUACCUAGUUCGUGUGCACUAGGUUACAAGGCUAAAUCAAUAGGCUAAGCUCUGCCUGUAUAAAUCUGCAAUAUAUCAAGGCUUAUCUGUAGACUAAAACUUUGGCCGUAUGAAUCUGCAUGAUUAUAAUGACCUUAGGUACUUUAUGGAGCUUGCACAAGGAGGAGCGGGUCGUUGUGGACAAGUAUUCAUGAAUGCUUACUAAACACUUAUGAUAUUUCAUACGAUAACACUUAUGAUUGGGUUUUUACUUAAAUGUUCCGCUACAUAUACAAUGUUUGGUUUUGA
This 1355-nucleotide long non-coding RNA is filed under the name Helianthus annuus (common sunflower). RNAcentral describes it as "hypothetical non coding rna". The record is from RNAcentral. Lineage: Eukaryota; Viridiplantae; Streptophyta; Magnoliopsida; Asterales; Asteraceae.